GACGGAGGAUGCAAGUGUUAUCCGGAAUUACUGGGCGUAAAGCGUGCGCAGGCGGUUAUGUAAGACAGGUGUGAAAUCCCAGGGCUUAACCUUGGAACUGCAUUUGUGACUGCAUAGCUAGAGUACGGUAGAGGGGGAUGGAAUUCCGCGUGUAGCAGUGAAAUGCGUAGAUAUGCGGAGGAACACCGAUGGCGAAGGCAAUCCCCUGGACCUGUACUGACGCUCAUGCACGAAAGCGUGGGGAGCAAACAGG
This 253-nucleotide ribosomal RNA is filed under the name uncultured bacterium. RNAcentral describes it as "partial 16S ribosomal RNA". It matches the Rfam family "Bacterial small subunit ribosomal RNA", at positions 524 to 776 of the family's 1533-position model. The record is from RNAcentral.